This 426-nucleotide ribosomal RNA is filed under the name uncultured bacterium. Its description in RNAcentral is "bacterial SSU rRNA". It matches the Rfam family "Bacterial small subunit ribosomal RNA", at positions 355 to 775 of the family's 1533-position model. The record is from RNAcentral.
UCUAGAGGCUUCGUCAAUGGGGGCAACCCUGAACGAGCGACGCCGCGUGUGGGAUUGAAGGCCUUCGGGUCGUAAACCACUGUCGAGUGGGAAGAAUGCCCUGAUGGCGAAUCAGGGAGCGACGGUACCACUAUAGGAAGCCCCGGCUAACUCCGUGCCAGCAGCCGCGGUAAUACGGAGGGGGCAAGCGUUGUUCGGAUUUACUGGGCGUAAAGGGUGUGUAGGCGGCUGGACAAGUCUGGCGUGAAAUCUUCACCGCUCAACGGGAAGGGGUCGCUGGAAACUGUUCAGCUUGAGUAUGGUAGAGGCAAGCGGAAUUCCUGGUGUAGCGGUGGAAUGUGUAGAUAUCAGGAAGAACACCGGUGGCGAAGGCGGCUUGCUGGGCCAUCACUGACGCUGAGACACGAAAGCGUGGGGAGCAAACGG